ACGGAAGGCAGCAGUGGGGAAUAUUGCACAAUGGGGGAAACCCUGAUGCAGCGACGCCGCGUGAGUGAAGAAGUAUUUCGGUAUGUAAAGCUCUAUCAGCAGGGAAGAGAAUGACGGUACCUGACUAAGAAGCACCGGCUAAAUACGUGCCAGCAGCCGCGGUAAUACGUAUGGAGCAAGCGUUAUCCGGAUUUACUGGGUGUAAAGGGUGCGUAGGCGGCAUGGCAAGUCAGAUGUGAAAGACCGGGGCUCAACUCCGGGGCUGCAUUUGAAACUGCCAGGCUGGAGUACAGGAGAGGCGGGCGGAAUUCCUAGUGUAGCGGUGAAAUGCGUAGAUAUUAGGAGGAACACCAGUGGCGAAGGCGGCUUUCUGGACUGUAACUGACACUGAGGCACGAAAGCGUGGGGAGCAAACAGGAUUAGAUACCCUGGUA
Molecule: ribosomal RNA, 434 nt
Filed under: uncultured bacterium
Lineage: Bacteria
Description: partial 16S ribosomal RNA
Rfam family: Bacterial small subunit ribosomal RNA
Source: RNAcentral